GAUGAAGAACGCAGCGAAAUGCGAUAAGUAGUGUGAAUUGCAGAAUUCAGUGAAUCAUCGAAUCUUUGAACGCACAUUGCGCCCGCCAGUAUUCUGGCGGGCAUGCCUGUUCGAGCGUCAUUACAACCCUCAGGCCCCCGGGCCUGGCGUUGGGGAUCGGCGGAAGCCCCCUGCGGGCACAACGCCGUCCCCCAAAUACAGUGGCGGUCCCACCGCAGCUUCCAUUGCGUAGUAGCUAACACCUCGCAACUGGAGAGCGGCGCGGCCACGCCGUAAAACACCCAACUUCUGAAUGUUGACCUCGAAUCAGGUAGGAAUACCCGCUGAACUUAAGCAUAUCAAUAAGCGGAGGA
This 353-nucleotide unclassified non-coding RNA is filed under the name soil metagenome. RNAcentral's name for it is "partial contains 5.8S ribosomal RNA, internal transcribed spacer 2, and large subunit ribosomal RNA". The stretch from base 1 to 120 matches the Rfam family "5.8S ribosomal RNA", at positions 35 to 154 of the family's 154-position model. The record is from RNAcentral.